CUGGUCUCGCUGAUCCCUCCCUCUUGACGAACUGUGAUGCCAUUAAUUUGGUGUCGCAGGGAAUCAGGACUGUUACUUUGAAAAAAUUAGAGUGUUUAAAGCAGGCUUUCGCUUGAAUACAUUAGCAUGGAAUAAUGAAAUAGGACGUUUGAUCCUAUUUUGUUGGUUUCUAGGAUUGACGUAAUGAUUAAUAGGGAUAGUUGGGGGCAUUAGUAUUCAAUUGUCAGAGGUGAAAUUCUUGGAUUUAUUGAAGACUAACUACUGCGAAAGCAUUUGCCAAGGAUGGUUUCAUUAAUCAAGAACGAAAGUUAGGGGAUCGAAGACGAUCAGAUACCGUCGUAGUCUUAACCAUAAACUAUGCCGACUAGGGAUCGGAUGAUGUUAAUUUUUUAAUGACUCAUUCGGCGCCUUACG
RNAcentral lists this ribosomal RNA (414 nucleotides) under uncultured Glomeromycotina. RNAcentral's name for it is "SSU rRNA". It matches the Rfam family "Eukaryotic small subunit ribosomal RNA", at positions 680 to 1092 of the family's 1831-position model. Lineage: Eukaryota; Fungi; Glomeromycota. The record is from RNAcentral.